CCCGGGCUAGCUCAAUUGGCAGAGCGCACGUUUACCAAAUUGACGUGAGGUCACAAGUUCGAUUCUUGUGCCUGGGC
Aspergillus brasiliensis CBS 101740 is the source of this 77-nucleotide transfer RNA. It matches the Rfam family "tRNA". From Rfam's summary of the family: Transfer RNA (tRNA) molecules are approximately 80 nucleotides in length. Their secondary structure includes four short double-helical elements and three loops (D, anti-codon, and T loops). The record is from Rfam. NCBI's taxonomy places the organism in Eukaryota, Fungi, Ascomycota, Eurotiomycetes, Eurotiales, Aspergillaceae.